GGAUCAGCUGUUUUACCUUCUCCAGGGAGCUGUGCAUCUCCUUCUGCCGGGCCAGGAUGGUGUUCUUCAUUUCCAUGCAUUUCUGCAGCAAAUGAGAAGGGCACACGUCUGAACUCCA
Molecule: long non-coding RNA, 118 nt
Organism: Lynx canadensis (Canada lynx)
Lineage: Eukaryota; Metazoa; Chordata; Mammalia; Carnivora; Felidae
Exons: 3
Source: RefSeq, a predicted model, not a curated record